CUUAGUCCAGCUGGUUUUGGGUGCACUUAGAAAUCCCCACAGGGAAUUUUAUCUGGCAGGGCUGGGAUCCUCUCUUCCCGGUCACAGCUAACAUAAAAACAUUUCUACUGAUUAGUUGCACUUAUUUAUUUGUCCAAACACACAGCAGCCCAAGCCUGUAUUUGUGUGUGUGUACUCAAAUGUCUUCCAAAAGCCACUCCUACCACCCCUGCAAAAUAGUUGGAGGGUGACACAAGAGCGAUAAACAUCUGGCCAUGGGAAUGCUCUGGAGUGAAUGGACUUGUGAAUGGGGACCGGUGGCACUGAAGUGGUGGUGAUUUCACUCCACAUGAGACCGAAAUAACCCAGGCUCCGAUGGCCCUGUGUCCCAAGGGACAGGCAGUGACCCUGAGCCCCCAGCUCAGGAAAGUCCCUUGCUCAAGGAAGAGGCUUCAGUAGAUGCUUCAUCCAAACUUUUCUGCUGGCAUGGAUCGAGGUUGGAUUUGUGAUUUCAUUGUUCACGCUGAAAUCCUUGCUUAAUGUUGACUCACCAGGGGAAGCAGAGGUUUGUGAUCUGUGGCAGGAAUCAGCUGUCUUGUUCGUCAAAGCUUCCAGCUUGAUGACGGGGUAUUUGUUGGAAGAUGUAAGAAAUUCUACUGCUUGGGACUGAGAUAAUGUCACUUAAUUGCUAAGACACUGGGAAAGCCUCAGAGACUGAGUCCAUACCAACUGCUGGUUCACAUGCUGGUGAAAUCUUGCUCUUGAGCAUCUCAGCGCUGGAAUUGCGAAGUGCCCGGUCCUCAGCAAGCGUGUGAGCGAGCAAAUCCCUCCAGCAGCGUGGAUCGUUCUUCUGCACCCAUUGUUAUGGAAAUCGCCUUAGAGACUGUUGCUCCAGCAAUCAUUUUUAGAAGCACGAGCGAGUUGCGCAACAGGAAAAGCGCUCGGAGGUGAGGAAAGCCCCCCUGGAGGCUCUCGGCACUGCCCCUUCCCCCAGCAGGCUGCGGAGCCCUGCUGGCUCUCCUGGUGGGGAUGGGAUUCAGGGUGUUCCUUUGCCUAGUAAGGCAGGGAGAAAGUGCUUCUGCAGGAGAAGCCCCUUCUGCGUCAGUCUCCAAGGAAACCCUUGGUGGCUCAGCCUUCGUUGCACGCCUGGGCAGUGGCUCACACAUCCCAGACUUGUGCCUGAAUCACACAUCCACACUUUGAUCUGCCAGUGGCGUUUUAUGGGUGCAAAUUUUAGGCAAAUGGUGGGGUUUUCCUACCCCUACACGCCACUUUAUCUCAGAGAGCCUCAUGGUUGGCUUUGGUGUGCAGCACCAGUGAAACCAGCCCUAUCUCUGUUUCGAAUGCACAUUCCUCACCGUUUAGUCUGGAAGGAGAAGCCUUCUAAUGCUCCCACACCUCCCAGCUUCUCGGGAGCAAGCCUGGGAGCCUGGUGGUUACAGGGAGGCUCGGGCAGCAGGUGCUUCCAGGUGUGCUGCCACCAAGCCUGGGUGCCGUGCCUGAGCCAGGGCAGGUCACCCCUCUGCCCCCUGCCUGGUGACAAGCAGGAGGGGUAGAGGAGAGCAAGUCACUGCCCCAAAAGCUUCCAAACCCCCACAGGUUAGGGUUUGCCCACCCACAGGGCAGUCCCACUGCUCGUCCCCCAUUUGUGCUCAAAUGCCGAGCCCUGAGUUUUAAUUUUAAAAAAUCAUCUCUUCUUGUCUCAAUUAACUACAAACAAUUGCUUCUCUUGAGUUUGCUUCUCAAGCUCCUCAUCACUGCCUGCUGUGGAGCAGGAGCAGCUCUCCAGCCUGUGCCCAGGAGCUUCCUGCAGCCUCGGCUGAUGGAAGGGGAAAAGCACAGAUCCAGUGACCUUUGUUUGCCUCACUGCUGCCCACAGUCCCUGCCUGACAUUUGAGGAGUGCUCUUAAAAGAAAAGUACCAUUUCUGGCACACUGGCCCUGCUGCUGAAGAGCUGUUCCUCUUCCACCUCCUUCAUGUGCUGGGAUUAAAAGCUACAGGUAAUCCUGGGGAGUAAAUGAAAGGCUU
Long non-coding RNA from Motacilla alba alba, 2007 nucleotides. RefSeq lists it as uncharacterized. The transcript is spliced from 3 exons. Lineage: Eukaryota; Metazoa; Chordata; Aves; Passeriformes; Motacillidae. The record is from RefSeq and is a predicted model, not a curated record.